Molecule: ribosomal RNA, 456 nt
Filed under: uncultured bacterium
Lineage: Bacteria
Description: bacterial SSU rRNA
Rfam family: Bacterial small subunit ribosomal RNA
Source: RNAcentral
AGGUGCUGCACGGCUGUCGUCAGCUCGUGUCGUGAGAUGUUGGGUUAAGUCCCGCAACGAGCGCAACCCUCGUGUUUAGUUACUAACAGUUCGGCUGAGGACUCUAAACAGACUGCCUGGGUAACCAGGAGGAAGGUGAGGACGACGUCAAGUCAUCAUGGCCCUUACGGCCAGGGCUACACACGUGCUACAAUGGGGUAUACAAAGAGCUGCAAUACGGUGACGUGGAGCAAAUCUCAUAAAAUAUCUCCCAGUUCGGAUUGAAGUCUGCAACUCGACUUCAUGAAGUUGGAAUCGCUAGUAAUCGUAGAUCAGCAAUGCUACGGUGAAUACGUUCCCGGGUCUUGUACUCACCGCCCGUCACACCAUGGGAAUUGAGUUCAUUCGAAGCGGGGAUGCUAAAAUAGCUACCUUCCACAGUGGAUUUAGUAACUAGGGUGAAGUCGUAACAAGGUA